RNAcentral lists this transfer RNA (63 nucleotides) under Rhinebothroides sp. MZUSP 8027. RNAcentral's name for it is "tRNA-Gln". RNAcentral also lists the same sequence under 2 other names. The record is from RNAcentral. Lineage: Eukaryota; Metazoa; Platyhelminthes; Cestoda; Rhinebothriidea; Rhinebothriidae.
UUUAAUGAGGUGUUGUAUGCACAAUACAUUUUGGUUGUAUAAGUAGUUAGUAACUCAUUAUUU